GCCUAACACAUGCAAGUCGAGCGGUAGCAGGACCUGUAGCAAUACAGGUUGCUGACGAGCGGCGGACGGGUGAGGAAUACGUAGGAACUUGCCCUUCAGUGGGGGAUAACCAAGGGAAACUUUGGCUAAUACCGCAUAAUCUCGGGAGAGUAAAGCUGCCGCAAGGUGGUGCUGAAGGAGAGGCCCGCGUACGAUUAGCAAGUUGGUGAGGUAAGAGCUCACCAAGGCGAUGAUCGGUAACUGGUCUGAGAGGACGACCAGUCACACUGGGACUGAGACACGGCCCAGACUCCUACGGGAGGCAGCAGUGGGGAAUAUUGGACAAUGGGUGCAACCCUGAUCCAGCGAUGCCGCGUGAGUGAAGAAGGCCCUCGGGUCGUAAAGCUCUUUAUGUUGGGAAGAAGGUUAUUGGAGGAAAUGCUAGUAACUUGACGGUACCGACAGAAUAAGCACCGGCAAACUCUGUGCCAGCCGCCGCGGUAA
Molecule: ribosomal RNA, 483 nt
Filed under: uncultured bacterium
Lineage: Bacteria
Description: partial 16S ribosomal RNA
Rfam family: Bacterial small subunit ribosomal RNA
Source: RNAcentral